GUAGGUGGCAAGCGUUGUCCGGAAUUAUUGGGCGUAAAGCGCGCGCAGGCGGUUCUUUAAGUCUGAUGUGAAAGCCCACGGCUCAACCGUGGAGGGUCAUUGGAAACUGGAGAACUUGAGUACAGAAGAGGAAAGCGGAAGUCCACGUGUAGCGGUGAAAUGCGUAGAGAUGUGGAGGAACACCAGUGGCGAAGGCGGCUUUCUGGUCUGUAACUGACGCUGAGGCGCGAAAGCGUGGGGGAGCAAACAGGAUUAGAUACCCUGGUAGUCCACGCCGUAAACGAUGAGUGCUAAGUGUUAGGGGGUUUCCGCCCCUUAGUGCUGCAGCUAACGCAUUAAGCACUCCGCCUGGGAGUACGGCCGCAAGGCUG
Molecule: ribosomal RNA, 371 nt
Filed under: uncultured organism
Description: partial 16S ribosomal RNA
Rfam family: Bacterial small subunit ribosomal RNA
Source: RNAcentral